GCGGGGAGGGGGACCACGAGAGAGAGAGAGAGAGAGAGAAAGAGAAAGAGAGAGAGAGAAGGAAAAAGCAGGUCUCCUCUUUGGCAACAGGGCGCGCGUGGAAAAGUUACAACGCGCCUCUCUUUCUUUCUUUUCUUUCUUUCUCUCUCUCUCUCUCUCUCUCUCUCUCUCUCUUUCCUCA
This 181-nucleotide microRNA precursor is filed under the name Podarcis lilfordi (Lilford's wall lizard). Lineage: Eukaryota; Metazoa; Chordata; Lepidosauria; Squamata; Lacertidae. The record is from RNAcentral.